Molecule: ribosomal RNA, 478 nt
Filed under: uncultured bacterium
Lineage: Bacteria
Description: partial 16S ribosomal RNA
Rfam family: Bacterial small subunit ribosomal RNA
Source: RNAcentral
GACGAACGCUGGCGGCGUGCUUAACACAUGCAAGUCGAACGGUAGGGCCCUUCGGGGUACACGAGUGGCGAACGGGUGAGUAACACGUGGGUGAUCUGCCCUGCACUUCGGGAUAAGCCUGGGAAACUGGGUCUAAUACCGGAUAGGACUCCGGACUGCAUGGUCUGGGGUGGAAAGCUUUUGCGGUGUGGGAUGGGCCCGCGGCCUAUCAGCUUGUUGGUGGGGUGAUGGCCUACCAAGGCGACGACGGGUAGCCGGCCUGAGAGGGUGACCGGCCACACUGGGACUGCGAUACGGCCCAGACUCCUACGGGAGGCAGCAGUGGGGAAUAUUGCACAAUGGGCGCAAGCCUGAUGCAGCGACGCCGCGUGAGGGACGACGGCCUUCGGGUUGUAAACCUCUUUCAGCAUCGACGAAGCGAAAGUGACGGUAGGUGCAGAAGAAGGACCGGCCAACUACGUGCCAGCCGCCGCCGUAA